AAAAGAGGAACAAAAACCACAUGUCCAGCAUAGUAGCAUAACACCUAAGAGACAUAAAAAGAAGAGGUUGAAUACAAAAUUAAAAAAGGACAAUGUUUAAGAACAAACUCGUGUAGGAAAUUAUUUUUGGAUCAUCUCUCUCAUUCUUAAUGUGUGUACACAGCAAGAACAUCUGGGAAACACAAGCAACAGAGGACCAACAUUAGCCAAUAUCAAAUAAUAUAAGUGAUAGGCAAAAAGGUGUAUAAAUGUGAGGUUUACCUGAAAGUUCAUCAGCACUCUCACUAUUUUUUUUCUUUUUCUCUUCGAAACCUACCACACAGUAAUCCCGGGGCCUCGACAAUCUGCAUCAAAGAAAGACAUAGAUUUUUUUCACUUAGAAGGAUAAAUCAGUAAAAAGGAAGAACACUACCUGAAGAUACAGUGCAGAGAAGGCAAAAUGUAUCAAUUGAAGCUGAAAGAACUACUCAACCAAGAGUUUGAAAUGAAGGACUUAGGACCAGCAAGGAAAAUCCUGGGAAUGCAGAUCAAGAGAGACAGAGAUCAAGGAAUUUUGGAGUUGUCUCAAAGUGAAUAUGUUGAACAAGUCUUAAGGACUUUUGGAAUGGAUCAAUCGAAGGCCACACAGACACCACUGGGUGCUCAUUUCAGAUUAAGAGCUGCUUCAGAACAAAUUCUCAGAAGAGAAGAAGAGUACAUGAGCUCAGUUCCCUAUCCUAAUGCUAUUGGAAGCAUUAUGUACUCUAUGAUAGGAUCAAGGCCGGAUUUGGCAUAUCCUGUGGGGGUUGUAAGCAGGUUCAUGAGCAGACCUUCAAAAGAACAUUGGCAGGCUGUGAAAUGGGUCAUGAGGUACAUGAAGGGGACACAAGAUAUGUGUCUAACGUUUAAGAGGGAAGAAAAGUUUGAGAUCAAAGGUUACUGCGAUUCUGACUAUGCAACUGAUUUGGACAAGAGAAGGUCUAUCACAGGCUAUGUAUUUACAGCUGGUGGGAAUACAAUAAGCUGGAAGUCAUGUUUACAGAGAGUGGUGGCUCUGUCAACAACAGAAGCAGAAUACAUGGCCCUAACAGAAGCAGUAAAAGAAGCUUUAUGGCUGAAGGGUUUAGCUGCAGAGAUGGGUUUCAAUCAAGAAGCAGUUGAGAUUAUGUGUGACUCACAAAGUGCCAUAGCUUUGUCCAAGAACUCAGUUCACCAUGAGAGGACAAAGCAUAUAGAUGUGAGAUAUCACUUCAUAAGGGAGAAGAUUGCAGAUGGGGAGAUUCAAGUUGUCAAGAUUUCAACAACUUGGAAUCCAGCAGAUAUCUUCACCAAGAUAGUACCAGUGAGUAAGCUUCAAGAUGCUCUGAAGCUUCUCAGGGUCUCCAGCGAAUGAGAGACCACAGAUCCGAGAUUGGAAAUCAAGUAACACUAAGAGGACAAAGUCAAGUGAAUUUGAACCAAGGAGGAGUUUUGUGGGUUUUGUUUAAAAUUCACCAAGUUAUUAAGAGACUCCAGCUGGUUCAGAGGGUUCACAAGCAAGGAAGAAAGAAAGAAAGGGAUAAGAAGUUCUGUGUAUAACAGAGGGUUCACUUUUUGGUCUAAUGUCGAUGCUUUCUUCUUCUCAGUCUCUCUCGUUCUCUCUCAUGGCGUCACCACCUGAACCAAAAUCGUACAAGCAUGAAUUGGGGAGCAAACAGAAGCGUGAAGAAGGCUGCCUGCAAUUCGUACGAAUCAGGCCGUGUCUGGCGGAGAGAGAGAUCCGACAACAAGAAGAAUUGGCGACCAAGUUGUCGGGUAAGGUUCUCUUUGUCUUUAUAAUGAGAACUGUGAGAAACUUGUAAGGGGUGGUGAGUUCAAGUUUGUAUUGAGAGAGAGAAGUUGUAAGAACCCUAAAGGCUCUAGAUUUGAGCAAAGUCUUAGUGGAUUUCCGAGGAGAGUCUCGGCCAGACGUAGCGACACCAUUCCGGGUCGUGAACUGGAUAAUUUGCUGUGUGUUCUUUAUAUUUUCUCUAAGCUUAUCCCAUACAAACGAGAGAAACAGAGAGUUGAGAGAAAUUCCUUUAAGUUAAACCAAAAGCUUGAAUCUUUCUUAAGUCUUGAGUGUAAAGGUGUUGGCUUUCUCGGUUCUAACUUUCACA
Molecule: long non-coding RNA, 2117 nt
Filed under: Capsella rubella
Lineage: Eukaryota; Viridiplantae; Streptophyta; Magnoliopsida; Brassicales; Brassicaceae
Description: long non-coding RNA (CRUB_LNC002447)
Source: RNAcentral